Molecule: small RNA, 460 nt
Filed under: Pongo abelii (Sumatran orangutan)
Lineage: Eukaryota; Metazoa; Chordata; Mammalia; Primates; Hominidae
Description: processed transcript
Source: RNAcentral
UUUCCCUGGAGGGGCUUUGCGCGUGGCGAGUCUGUGUCCUCCCUGUCCCUCCGAGCAGAGAGCCUCCCCGUAUCUGGACCGGGGAGGAGCAGACGCUGGACAGGUUUCUGGGAGAAUGCUGGCAAUUCCCAGGAAGAUACGUGGAGAACGGAAAGGUUGCUACACCCAAAUAGUGGAGCAAAGCUAUGAUUAUGGAGGAUUGGACCUGCAAACUCCAGAACAGAGCAACCUUGUAAAAUGUGUGUGGGCAGCACAGAGACCUUGGGCAAGUUAACAGUUUCCUCAUCUAAAUAGUGAUUUAUGGAAAGCACCUGGUGCGUGGGUGUUUUGGUCCCAGGGAACCUCGUUUUCAGAGCAGAGGCUCACGCAGAUCCUGAGCCCAGUUAAUGGUCAUACCUUUCCCUGACUAAGUGAAUGUUCAUUCUAUCCUUUGAGAUGAUCUUUGAAGUCUCAUUACAUA